CCCAAAACAGAAAGGAAAGCUCACCACCAGAAUGUGCCUUUUCCUUAUCAAAAAGAAUUGCUGCCCCUUACAGGACAGGAGGACUCCAAUUGUGACCAAGUUGGAGCAGCCUUGAGCCACAACUCAGACUUAUUUUCAUUCUCUGCUCAUUGGCCAUUAGGAACCCGAUCCUUAUGGUAUGUUCACACUGUCUCCAGGCUGGGCACAGUGGCUCACACUUGUAAUCCCAGCACUCUGGAGGCCAAGAUGUUGUUGCUAUGAUUUUUCUUUUUAAGACCUGCAGUGACCUGCUGCUACCAGAACUGACUCGCUUCAAAGUGACGGAUGAAACCCAUAUGGAGAUAUUCCUGGGGUGGGUAGGCCAGUUGGAAGACAGAGUGUUUACACCUGAGAGAGGACUUGAGGAAAAGCAGUUGAAAUACCAUUAGUUAACAGAUUGCCCAAUGAAGUCGAUGACAACUGUGAUAACAAGUUACUCACUAUCACAGCGUCUCCAAGAGAUGAACAGUGGAUGAUGCUUCCAAAGCACAGAUGUCCCUCUCCUCCUCAACCUUCUCUCCCCAGAAAGAUGUCAACACUGUGGAGAUUGUGCUAUGAAGAUACCUGGUGUGGCAUUGCAAUAGAUGAAAUAUUAAGGGCAAUUCAACAAUUUUCUGAACAAAUACAUGGAUUUAACUUGAAGUUGAAUUUAAUUUGACUUCAAGAAAAAU
RNAcentral lists this long non-coding RNA (710 nucleotides) under Homo sapiens (human). Its description in RNAcentral is "long intergenic non-protein coding RNA 1020". The record is from RNAcentral. Lineage: Eukaryota; Metazoa; Chordata; Mammalia; Primates; Hominidae.